UCAUCGUAGGGUUAGUCGGGACCUAAGUCGAGUCCGAAAGGGGUAGACGAUGGAAAAAAGGUUAAUAUUCCUUUACCAACAAUUGAGCGUGAUGUGGGGACGCAUAGAGUUAGACGAGGUCGCUGAUGGAAUAGCGGCUCGAAGGAUGUAGGUUGUAUCUUAGGCAAAUCCGGGAUACGUAAAGACCGAAAUCUGACAGGCUAAAUAAUACUUUCGAGUAGCAUUUAGAAUCGUUGAUACUGUCGUGCCUAGAAAAGCCACUAAGCAUAUCAAUUGCUGCCCGUACCGUAAACCGACACAGGUGGGUGAGAUGAGUAUUCUAAGGCGCGUGGAAGAACUCUGGUUAAGGAACUCUGCAAACUAGCACCGUAAGUUCGCGAUAAGGUGUGCCUGAGUAAUCAGGUCUCAGCAAAGAGUCCCUCCCGACUGUUUAC
RNAcentral lists this ribosomal RNA (434 nucleotides) under uncultured Campylobacterota bacterium. Its description in RNAcentral is "bacterial LSU rRNA". It matches the Rfam family "Bacterial large subunit ribosomal RNA", at positions 1369 to 1807 of the family's 2925-position model. Lineage: Bacteria; Pseudomonadati; Campylobacterota. The record is from RNAcentral.